This 656-nucleotide ribosomal RNA is filed under the name uncultured bacterium. RNAcentral describes it as "bacterial SSU rRNA". It matches the Rfam family "Bacterial small subunit ribosomal RNA", at positions 1 to 707 of the family's 1533-position model. The record is from RNAcentral.
CCCUUAGAGUUUGAUCCUGGCUCAGAGCGAACGCUGGCGGCAGGCCUAACACAUGCAAGUCGAGCGCCCAGCAAUGGGAGCGGCAGACGGGAUAGUAACACGUGGGAACGUACCUUUCAGUUCGGAACAACCCAGGGAAACUUGGGCUAAUACCGAAUACGUCCGUAAGGAGAAAGAUUUAUCGCUGAAAGAUCGGCCCGCGUCUGAUUAGCUAGUUGGUGAGGUAAUGGCUCACCAAGGCGACGAUCAGUAGCUGGUCUGAGAGGAUGAUCAGCAUCACUGGGACUGAGACACGGCCCAGACUCCUACGGGAGGCAGCAGUGGGGAAUAUUGGACAAUGGGCGCAAGCCUGAUCCAGCCAUGCCGCGUGGAUGAUGAAGGCCUUAGGGUUGUAAAGUCCUUUCGGCGGGGAAGAUAAUGACGGUACCCGCAGAAGAAGCCCCGGCUAACUUCGUGCCAGCAGCCGCGGUAAUACGAAGGGGGCUAGCGUUGCUCGGAAUCACUGGGCGUAAAGCGCACGUAGGCGGACUCUUAAGUCGGUGGUGAAAUCCUGGAGCUCAACUCCAGAACUGCCUUCGAUACUGAGAGUCUCGAGUCCGAGAGAGGUGAGUGGAACUGCGAGUGUAGAGGUGAAAUUCGUAGAUAUUCGCAAGAAC